Molecule: ribosomal RNA, 252 nt
Filed under: uncultured bacterium
Lineage: Bacteria
Description: partial 16S ribosomal RNA
Rfam family: Bacterial small subunit ribosomal RNA
Source: RNAcentral
UACGGGGGGGGCAAGCGUUGUUCGGAAUUACUGGGCGUAAAGGGCGCGUAGGCGGCCUACUAAGUCGGACGUGAAAUCCCUGGCUCAACCGGGGAACUGCGUCCGAUACUGGUGGGCUUGAAUCCGGGAGAGGGAUGUGGAAUUCCAGGUGUAGCGGUGAAAUGCGUAGAUAUCUGGAGGAACACCGGUGGCGAAGGCGGCAUCCUGGACCGGUAUUGACGCUGAUGCGCGAAAGCCAGGGGAGCAAACGGG